UACAGAGGUCCCAAGCGUUGUUCGGAUUCAUUGGGCGUAAAGGGCGCGUAGGCGGCAUGACAAGUCACUUGUGAAAUCUCCGGGCUUAACUCGGAACGGCCAAGUGAUACUGUCGCGCUAGAGUGCAGAAGGGGCAAUCGGAAUUCUUGGUGUAGCGGUGAAAUGCGUAGAUAUCAAGAGGAACACCUGAGGUGAAGACGGGUUGCUGGGCUGACACUGACGCUGAGGCGCGAAAGCCAGGGGAGCAAACGGG
Molecule: ribosomal RNA, 253 nt
Filed under: uncultured bacterium
Lineage: Bacteria
Description: partial 16S ribosomal RNA
Rfam family: Bacterial small subunit ribosomal RNA
Source: RNAcentral